This 371-nucleotide ribosomal RNA is filed under the name uncultured bacterium. RNAcentral describes it as "bacterial SSU rRNA". It matches the Rfam family "Bacterial small subunit ribosomal RNA", at positions 527 to 896 of the family's 1533-position model. The record is from RNAcentral.
GUAGSUGGCAAGCGUUGUCCGGAUUUACUGGGCGUAAAGAGCGCGCAGGCGGUCGAUUUAGUCGUGUGUGAAAGCCCCCGGCUCAACUGGGGAGGGUCACGCGAUACUGAUCGACUCGAAGGCAGGAGAGGGUAGUGGAAUUCCCGGUGUAGUGGUGAAAUGCGUAGAUAUCGGGAGGAACACCAGUGGCGAAGGCGACUACCUGGCCUGUUCUUGACGCUGAGGCGCGAAAGCUAGGGGAGCAAACGGGAUUAGAUACCCCGGUAGUCCUAGCCGUAAACGAUGGACACUAGGUGUUGGUGGUAUCAACCCCGCCAGUGCCGAAGCUAACGCAUUAAGUGUCCCGCCUGGGGAGUACGGCCGCAAGGCUA